RNAcentral lists this ribosomal RNA (265 nucleotides) under unidentified marine bacterioplankton. Its description in RNAcentral is "partial 16S ribosomal RNA". It matches the Rfam family "Bacterial small subunit ribosomal RNA", at positions 74 to 339 of the family's 1533-position model. The record is from RNAcentral.
CUUGCUCUGGCUGGAUUAGUGGCGAACGGGUGAGUAACACGUGAGCAAUCUGCCCCUGACUCUGGGAGUAACGUCGAGAAAUCGAUGCUAAUACCGGAUACGACCCUUCCAGGCAUCUGGUGAGGGUGGAAAGAACGUUUAGGUCUAGGGAUGAGCUCGCGGCCUAUCAGCUAGUUGGUGAGGUAAUGGCUCACCAAGGCGACGACGGGUAGCCGGCCUGAGAGGGUGACCGGCCACACUGGGACUGAGACACGGCCCAGACUCC